Molecule: ribosomal RNA, 439 nt
Filed under: uncultured bacterium
Lineage: Bacteria
Description: partial 16S ribosomal RNA
Rfam family: Bacterial small subunit ribosomal RNA
Source: RNAcentral
CUACGGGGGGCUGCAGUAAGGAAUAUUGGACAAUGGAGGAAACUCUGAUCCAGCCAUGCCGCGUGAGUGAUGAAGGCCUUCGGGUUGUAAAGCUCUUUUAGGUGUGACGAUGAUGACGGUAACACCAGAAAAAGCCCCGGCUAACUUCGUGCCAGCAGCCGCGGUAAUACGAAGGGGGCGAGCGUUGUUCGGAAUCACUGGGCUUAAAGCGUACGUAGGCGGAUUAACAAGUCAGAAGUGAAAGCCCAGGGCUUAACCCUGGAAUUGCUUUUGAAACUGUUAGUCUGGAAUCCGGUAGAGGUUGGCGGAACUCCGAGUGUAGAGGUGAAAUUCGCAGAUAUUCGGAAGAACACCAGUGGCGAAGGCGGCCAACUGGACCGGUAUUGACGCUGAGGUACGAAAGCGUGGGUAGCAAACAGGAUUAGAUACCCUCGUAGUC